AUACAUGCAGUCGAGCGGAUCUUCAUUAGCUUGCUUUUGAAGAUCAGCGGCGGACGGGUGAGUAACACGUGGGCAACCUGCCUGUAAGACUGGGAUAACUUCGGGAAACCGGAGCUAAUACCGGAUAAUCCUUUCCCUCACAUGAGGGAAAGCUGAAAGACGGCAUCUCGCUGUCACUUACAGAUGGGCCCGCGGCGCAUUAGCUAGUUGGUGAGGUAACGGCUCACCAAGGCAACGAUGCGUAGCCGACCUGAGAGGGUGAUCGGCCACACUGGGACUGAGACACGGCCCAGACUCCUACGGGAGGCAGCAGUAGGGAAUCUUCCGCAAUGGACGAAAGUCUGACGGAGCAACGCCGCGUGAACGAUGAAGGCUUUCGGGUCGUAAAGUUCUGUUGUCAGGGAAGAACAAGUACCGGAGUAACUGCCGGUACCUUGACGGUACCUGACCAGAAAGCCACGGCUAACUACGUGCCAGCAGCCGCGGAAUACGUAGGUGGCAAGCGUGUCCGGAUUAUUGGGCGAAAGCGCGCGCAGG
This 537-nucleotide ribosomal RNA is filed under the name Bacillus sp. (in: firmicutes). Its description in RNAcentral is "bacterial SSU rRNA". It matches the Rfam family "Bacterial small subunit ribosomal RNA", at positions 51 to 575 of the family's 1533-position model. The record is from RNAcentral. Lineage: Bacteria; Bacillati; Bacillota; Bacilli; Caryophanales; Bacillaceae.